RNAcentral lists this ribosomal RNA (255 nucleotides) under uncultured bacterium. RNAcentral's name for it is "partial 16S ribosomal RNA". It matches the Rfam family "Bacterial small subunit ribosomal RNA", at positions 524 to 776 of the family's 1533-position model. The record is from RNAcentral.
UACGUAGGUGGCAAGCGUUGUCCGGAUUUAUUGGGUUUAAAGGGUGCGUAGGCGGCUUAAUAAGUCAGUGGUGAAAGCCGAUCGCUUAACGAUCGAACUGCCAUUGAUACUGCUAGGCUUGAGUAUAGUUGAGGUAGGCGGAAUUGACAGUGUAGCGGUGAAAAUGCAUAGAUAUUGUCAAGAACACCAAUUGCGAAGGCAGCUUACUAAAGUAUAACUGACGCUGAGGCACGAAAGUGCGGGAGUCAAAACAGG